This 47-nucleotide ribosomal RNA is filed under the name Longidorus artemisiae. RNAcentral describes it as "partial 18S ribosomal RNA". The stretch from base 1 to 42 matches the Rfam family "Eukaryotic small subunit ribosomal RNA", at positions 1790 to 1831 of the family's 1831-position model. Lineage: Eukaryota; Metazoa; Nematoda; Enoplea; Dorylaimida; Longidoridae. The record is from RNAcentral.
CGUAACAAGGUUUCCGUAGGUGAACCUGCGGAAGGAUCAUUAACGAG